UUUUGUCUGUUCACUGGGGAAUUACUCAGUAGCUGUGCUAUUGAUGUGGCCUUGGGAGUGGUGGGAAGGGAUUGCAUGUGAUAACCAUAACGAAGUGAAAAGCAUUAAUUAGUGUAAUUAUUUGGUGGAGCAGAACUCUUUUGUCAGAACAAGCUGAGUUCAUUGGGAAGAUAACCCUGUUUGCAUUGUUUUGCUUUUAUUUGUAGGAUCAGAGACAGGCACUGGGCACUGAGAACAUCCCCAGUGCUGUGAGGCCAACUUCCCCCACUGUGAUGUCAAUGGGGAAAUAAGAGAAAACAGGCAAUGGUGUUGCCAUAGUGACUCUGAGAUUUCUUCACUUGUGCAGAGAAGCAUGGAUGACCUCGCAUGCGUUGCAUGGGGCAUUUGGAGACCACUUCUGUGCUGAACUGUAGGACACAGGACCCACAAAGAUGCACUGCCCUUGCACAUGGGCCUCAUGAUGUAGAAGAAUGAAUCGCUGAGCUUCUUCAUGAGCAAGCAAAUACAACCAGUCCCUGCCCUGGCCCAUGGCUGAACUCAAAUACUCUCACAUUUCCCCACAAAACCCCCUGUGAUCUCAACAGCUGGCAGCUAUCUGACACCAGGUCCCAGCAUCACAGGCUGCACAGUGCCCUCAGGAAUGCCCACCGCAUAUCUCCUCUGCUUUCCCUCUUCCUCCUGCUAUUACCAAUAAUUAUGGCUGAGGGUGUGACAAGGCCAUCAUUGUCCCAGCUCUCCAAGGACAACACGAGGGAAAUGCUGUACAAACUCACCAGAGGUAACCAGUCAGAACAGGAGAGAACCAUCGUUUAUUUCAGCUAAGGCAGCUUUUUGACAGACCAACCUGCUCUGUAGAUAAUGAGCCUUUCCAGUCGUCCAUGAUUUAUUGUGAAAACAAAAUGCUGGAUAACAUACUGGAGAAGCUCAGAAGGAAGACUUGCAGAGUGUUUGUAUUUCCAAGGUAUACAAGGGAACCUGAGGCCAAUGAGGUUAAAUAAAUGCUCAGAGUCAGCGGGGCAUUGGGCAAAAGAGGAAACCCAAGCCCUGCACGCCCCUAUAUAGAGCAAUAGCAGCAAGUGCUGUCGGAUGGAUAACCUGGGUUAGACUGAUUUCUAAAGGACCUUUUCAACAAAAGUCUUCUGUCAGGAAACAAAUGUCAGGCACCCCCCCCCGCUAGCUUCCUAAGCUUUCACACUGCCAGAGAGAAAUUGUUCUCUUUGACAAAGAUUUCAAAUCCAUUCAGGCUGAAUCUGCUUUCCCUUCUGGAUUUCAGUUAUUAAGCAUUAUUUUUUUUUAUCUCUGGUGCAUCCAACCACCAUAUGUUCUUAAAUAAAGCCACUUUCCACUUCUUCCCUUUGUGCUUUGAGGCAAGUAGAAUUGCUGGAAAUGUAGACACGCAGAAGGGUGCCCCUCCUUUGGGAAAUGCAGGAUUUCUAGGUAAAUCUUCAGCACAGAGUACCUCUCAUGCAGUUCUUGAAGUGCAUGAUGUACUGUGGAGUGUCUUUAUAUACCAUUUACUUGCAAGCGUGUAAUGAAAUAUCCUUUCUUUGUCCCAGCCUGGUUCCAAUUGUGUCACAAAGACAUAAAAGUAUUCUGAUAAUACACCCAUCUCUUAUCUGGCACAAUAGCAAGGUUUUAAUUUUGAAUGGGAUGACUAAAGGUGCUUCAUUAGCCAAAAGGAAGAGCUGUUAUAUGUCCUGGAGAAGCUGAAAUGGAAUGGAAUACUCCUACAGCAUGAAAUAAGCAUUUAUAAAUCUAUCAUAA
Molecule: non-coding RNA, 1764 nt
Organism: Meleagris gallopavo (turkey)
Lineage: Eukaryota; Metazoa; Chordata; Aves; Galliformes; Phasianidae
Source: RefSeq, a predicted model, not a curated record